CAAAAUUAUUAUUCAACAGCUCCAGGACUGUCUAUCUCCUCAUGUACAGAGGUAGGGAUACAAAAUUAGAUAAAGGAUUAAUAUAGGUGUGAUAUUUUCAUAUGAUUGCUAAAUGUGUGGGUUUUUUUAAAAUUCAUUUUAAAGCUACAGAGUUAAAGACUAUAAGUGACAGUGAGGUAUUAAAUCAGACUGAAGGAGAGGAGGAUAACACAGAAGAAAACUCGAACAACAAGUCUGAAGGGAUGAAGGAAACUAAUUCAAAAACCUCCUGUGAACAACGUCUGGCCGACAAGACUAAGACAGAGAGGAAGGAACAAAAGGGUAACAAGAACAAGUUCAUUUCUUUCAUAAAAAAAAAAUGGAAUUCUCUGGAACAUCCCUCCGAACGUGCAGCAGGUCAGAAGCCUGUUGAGACCACUUCAGAGGAUCUGACAGACAAGUUGAAAGAAGAACAGGGUGAAGAUACUGGUCCUGAAGAACAGAAAGGAAACGAAGAACCCAAAAAACUACAGGGACUUCAUUAUGGCCGGUAUGAUCAGGGAGAUACAAAUGAUCUCAACUUACUCUUACGGAAAGAUUCCCAUGAUACAAGCUACAGUGAGAGCUCUGCUAAGAAAAUGAUCACUGAAUACAAGGUGGAACUCAUCUACUGUCUGAUGGCGGAUCAUUCCAUUAUUCUGCAGCAUGCACAUGCCAAACAGAUCAUCACAGACAGACAAUAUCAGAAUAUAAGGGAAAAGUCUACCUCAACACCACAAGAAACUGUCACUGACCUGAUUGAUCACGUGAUUUUGAAGACUGGACCAAAAAGCUGGACUGGUUUCCUUGAUGUUCUCAAACUACCUGAUGUUCUGAGCACUUAUCCACAGCUCAAAGAAAUCAUAAAUAAAAUGCUGCGCAGCAAUAGUGGAAGCAGUGCAUAAGAUGUGAUUUUUGAUGCCAGACAGACAAAAGUGAUAUGAUUUAAAUAAGUCUGUUUAUGUUUUUUUUACAUGCCAGUUUUUCUUCUCAAAAUGUUAAGCAAUAUUUUACAAAUCCACCCUUUACCUUCUAAAAUGCACAUAGAAGGAUCACAGCAACAGUGUUUUCAUUUGAGAGAUUAUAACUAACAGUUGUUUUGUUUUAUGAAAAUAUGUCAGCAUAAAAUACUAAUCCUAGUUUUGAUGAAAUUAAAGACUGAAGGCCUCAACUUUUAUCUGUCAUUGGAUGCCAUGUUGAUACAUUUUGACUGGAUUUUCCUACAUGUACAUACUCAGCACAUUAAGGAUGCUGCUGAACAUAAUCUACAAAAUUGGUGAUUUCUUUGUUUUUGGGGGGUUGCCAUGGUAAUGAAAUGGUCAUUUUAAUUAUAGUUGGAACGACGACAGAACCACUUUGGAGUAUGUUGCCAGGUGUUAACAUAUCUGCCUGUGUAUAUAUAAUAAAUAAAUACAUUUUAAUUUUUUAAAGUUGCAUACAGAAUUUUAAAAAAUAUUUCAUUGUACAUAUGUUACUUUACAUACAUACAUACACACACAACAGAUUAGUUAUCGACUAUUAAAAUUAGGAAUUAGUUCAGCCAGUUUAUCUGUGGUAGUGUUUUCAACUUUGUUUUCUCAUCAUGUUUUUAUGUGUUGUCUUGACGAGCAGAUUAAUAAAUAAAAGUCCGAUUUCAGUACAUUUGAAUGAUAUAAUGGUUGAUGAAUGACUUUAAAUUACAUUUGAUUAUUAAUCUAGACUGGUGCUGAAACAACAGCUAAGUAUCUCGGGAAAACAUUUAGUUGUUGGUUUUUAUCUGUCCAUGAAUAAAGCUCAAACAGAGGGGCAAAAUACACAACACAGUGGAAAGAGUGUUCUGGGGACCUUAUUUCCCUCUGAGAACAGCUUGGACAAAGAAAUAUUUAUAGAGUCCUUUUGUGUUUUUAAAGGUAGCCUAUUCUCAGCAAGACACAGGGACAUUUUAGAACCAUCCUGUGGCGAUAAGUCCAUGUUUUUCAAAGUAUUGCAGUGUUUCAGGUGAUUGUGAGGCUGUUAUAAGCUAUUAUUAUUAUUAUUAUUAUUAUUAUUAUUAUUAUUAUUAUUAUUAUUAUUAUUAUUAUUAUUAUUAUUAUUAUUAUUAUUAUUAUUAUUAUUAUCAUCAUUAUUAUAAAAUCAACAAUGAGAACUAAAAGGGUGGGUUUGACUCGGAUGGACUGUUGACCAUCAUUUUACAUCUGAUCACUUUAUAAAAUGUGAUGUAUCACUGUAAAUAAGUAGUAGAAGACGAACUCUGAUCAUUAAUUUAUGUACCUAUGUUAUUUUUUUUUACAAGUGGGUAAGUCCUGCAUUCAAUUUAACUCCAGUAAAAGUAUAAAGGUAUUAACAGCAAAAGUAUCAAAUAGCAUUUAAAUGUUGUGAGGUGAAGUUUAUCUUAUCUGCUUUAUAUGUUUUUUAGGUGGUUUAGAUCAUAACAAUACAUCAUAUUUUAUAAACUGGUCAACUGUUUUGAAAGUAAAAUCAUAAUGUGAAUAAUGAUUCACCACAAAUUAUGAAUGAAGGAAAGAUUCUCGCGACGGUUUUAGAUGUACAAUAAUAGUUUAAAUACUUCAGACAGACGUGAGAAUGUACAGCAACAACUUCGAGAGUGAGAAUUCAGAAAAUGUUGUACACUGAGUAAACGUAUCAUGGAC
Molecule: long non-coding RNA, 2648 nt
Filed under: Sparus aurata (gilthead seabream)
Lineage: Eukaryota; Metazoa; Chordata; Actinopteri; Spariformes; Sparidae
Description: lncRNA (ENSSAUG00010008583.1)
Source: RNAcentral